RNAcentral lists this ribosomal RNA (460 nucleotides) under uncultured bacterium. RNAcentral's name for it is "partial 16S ribosomal RNA". It matches the Rfam family "Bacterial small subunit ribosomal RNA", at positions 338 to 795 of the family's 1533-position model. The record is from RNAcentral.
CCUACGUGAGGCAGCAGUGAGGAAUAUUGGUCAAUGGGCGCGAGCCUGAACCAGCCACGUAGCGUGAAGGAUGACUGCCCUACGGGUUGUAAACUUCUUUUAUAAAGGAAUAAAGUGAGGCACGUGUGCCUUUUUGUAUGUACUUUAUGAAUAAGGAUCGGCUAACUCCGUGCCAGCAGCCGCGGUAAUACGGAGGAUCCGAGCGUUAUCCUGAUUUAUUGGGUUUAAAGGGAGAGUAGAUGGGUUGUUAAGUCAGUUGUGAAAGUUUGCGGCUCAACCGUAAAAUUGCAAUUGAUACUGGCAGUCUUGAGUACAGUUGAGGUAGGCGGAAUUCGUGGUGUAGCGGUGAAAUGCUUAGAUAUCACGAAGAACUCCGAUUGCGAAGGCAGCUUACUAAACUGCCACUGACAUUGAUGCUCGAAAGUGUGGGUAUCAAACAGGAUUAGAUACCCCUGUAGUC